Molecule: ribosomal RNA, 260 nt
Filed under: uncultured Eubacteriales bacterium
Lineage: Bacteria; Bacillati; Bacillota; Clostridia; Eubacteriales
Description: uncultured Clostridiales bacterium partial 16S ribosomal RNA
Rfam family: Bacterial small subunit ribosomal RNA
Source: RNAcentral
UACGUAAGGUCCGAGCGUUGUCCGGAAUCAUUGGGCGUAAAGGGUACGUAGGCGGAUAAGCAAGUUAGAAGUGAAAUCCUAUAGCUCAACUAUAGUAAGCUUUUAAAACUGCUCAUCUUGAGGUAUGGAAGGGAAAGUGGAAUUCCUAGUGUAGCGGUGAAAUGCGCAGAUAUUAGGAGGAAUACCGGUGGCGAAGGCGACUUUCUGGCCAUAUACUGACGCUGAGGUACGAAAGCGUGGGUAGCAAACAGGAUUAGAUA